AUGAACUCUUCCCUUGGCCUUACGAUUAUACUCUUCUUAGUGCUUGGAGAAAGCAAUGGAGACUCGGUUACUCAGACAGAAGGCCAAGUGACACUCUCUGAAGGGAGUUCUAUGACUGUGAAUUGUUCCUAUGAAACCAAACAGUACCCUUCCCUGUUCUGGUAUGUGCAGUAUCCUGGAGAAGGUCCACAGCUCCUCUUUAGAGCCUCAAAGGCCAACGACAAGGGAAGCAGCAGAGGGUUUGAAGCCACAUAUGAUAAAGGAACCACCUCCUUCCACUUGCAGAAAGCCUCAGUGCAAGAGUCAGACUCGGCUGUGUACUACUGUGCUCUGGUUUCUGGUGGUUCCUGGGAUCCUGGCCUGGUCCAUCUGGGUUACAAUUGGCAUUAUGCUGACCUCAGUGAUUCUCCCCAGACCUUCAAUUUUGAGCACUGUUUUUGCAUCAACAUUAACCAUCUGUCACGGAGAUUCCAUAUGGACUUUGAAAAGAGAUUCCAUAUAAACAUGUCUUAA
Non-coding RNA from Meriones unguiculatus (Mongolian gerbil), 513 nucleotides. NCBI's taxonomy places the organism in Eukaryota, Metazoa, Chordata, Mammalia, Rodentia, Muridae. The record is from the annotation of a RefSeq genome assembly.